Stegodyphus dumicola is the source of this 899-nucleotide long non-coding RNA. The record is from RefSeq and is a predicted model, not a curated record. NCBI's taxonomy places the organism in Eukaryota, Metazoa, Arthropoda, Arachnida, Araneae, Eresidae.
GCACAUAGAUCCUUGAAUGCACUACAUUUUCGUUCAAGGAGUUACAAAAGUUGGCCUAAGAAUAUUUGGGAGGGAAGAGAGUAAACUUCAAUUUAAGAAAAAAAUCUAAAGAAAUCUUUUCCUUGUUAUGUACUAUAUACUGAAUAGACUUCGAAUUUUCAUCUCAAUAUUUAUAGCCUCACUUGCAAUUUUUUGCUCAAAGUUGCUUCCAUGGUUUAUUUACGCAAACAGACAGAACAAUUAGACUGGUAAUUCAGUGGCAGAGCUGCUUAUGGAUUUAGCCUUGACUUCGCCUUCUCAGAAAGUGUGAAUCAUUCGUGACAAAGGAGCAUACUUCACACUAAUGGUGUCCAGAAACCAAGAGGACUGGGACCAGAAGUUACCUCUCUUCUUAAUGGCUUGUCGCAGAGCUGUCCACAAGACUACCAGCUAUUCAGCAGCCCACAUGCUCUUUGGUCGGGACCUUCGUCUACUGUACAAUCUCUUGUUUGGGAAACAAGAUGGUGGAUUCAACAGAGGUGGCAAAAUGUGGUUAUGGUACCCAGUUCGACGGAAAGGACUCUAUUCUAAACUGCGGAAACCCUGGAAUGGUCCCUACACAGUCCUAAACAGGCUGAAUGAUGUUGUAGUUCAGAUCCAUUAAUCAUCAAAUUCUAAACCUAAAAUUGUUCAUUGCAAUAGGCCCUUCUUAUGGCCAUAGUACAAUCUUCAUAGUAUAUAUAAUGUAAAUAGAAUAAAUACUAAGACUAUGGUCACUCUCUAAUGUGUGAAAUGUCAUCAACAAAGGCCAGCUAUAUUUGCAGCACCCAAAAGAGAUGCUAAGAAAUACUUUUGUUCAGCAUGUAAUGAGAAAACCCACACUUUAAUGCAUACGAUAAUUAAAAUUUGCUUUUUUGCUC